AGCCUUUUUAGCAUAAAAGUAAUGCAACCGUUUUGUAAUCGGUAGAAGUGAGUUCGAUACUCGCAUAAGGCUA
RNAcentral lists this transfer RNA (73 nucleotides) under Penicillium canescens. RNAcentral's name for it is "tRNA-Thr". It matches the Rfam family "tRNA". Rfam says of the family: Transfer RNA (tRNA) molecules are approximately 80 nucleotides in length. Their secondary structure includes four short double-helical elements and three loops (D, anti-codon, and T loops). The record is from RNAcentral. Lineage: Eukaryota; Fungi; Ascomycota; Eurotiomycetes; Eurotiales; Aspergillaceae.